RNAcentral lists this ribosomal RNA (624 nucleotides) under Triticum aestivum (bread wheat). RNAcentral's name for it is "partial small subunit ribosomal RNA". The record is from RNAcentral. Lineage: Eukaryota; Viridiplantae; Streptophyta; Magnoliopsida; Poales; Poaceae.
AUGCAGCUGUGGACCCUAGAGGGCGCGAAGGACGCACUGGGCGACAAGGUCGUCAUCGACCGCCUCAACAGCCGCACUUUCGAGCGCGCGGACACGAAGCUCUUCGCCGUCUGGGUGUGGGUGUGGCAGCUCCACCACAUCCCCACCAAGCGGACGCUGUGGAAGCACACGAGAGGCGCUGGCCGGGUGGAGGAGAUGCUCGGCUUCUCGCCGCCGAGCCGGGCGGUCGCGCCACCACCCAACCUGCUUCGCUAGGACGUUCUGGUGCACAUCGACCGCGUUGAAGACUGGACGCCCCUGUCCCCCCGCUCCUCCCACUCCAGGCAGAGCGUCCUCCCCUCCUCCAACAACGACGAUCGCCCGUACCCGCGCUACCCCCACGCGGGGGGCUGGGUGUCUGGUGUGGAGGACGGCAGGCCAUCGCAGGACCAGGGGCCACGCCUGCGCCCUCCCGCGCAGGUGGCAUCCUCGGGCUGCAAGGGCAUGCCCUCGGCGGGCCACAGGCGCGGCCACGACGGCGACGAUAGCGGCAGCCAGAGGAGAUCCUGGAAGGACACGCUCCUCAGGCGGAGUCGCGGCAAGGAGCCGGCCGCGCUCCCCUCCCUCGACGGAGCGUCACCGUAG